Molecule: non-coding RNA, 45 nt
Organism: Schistosoma rodhaini
Lineage: Eukaryota; Metazoa; Platyhelminthes; Trematoda; Strigeidida; Schistosomatidae
Source: Rfam
AUCCAGCCGACGAACCCCAAAUAAGACGAAACGCCCGUCCUGGAU